UGAUUCCCGAGCAUGCUUGCAUGCGUACCUGGUCAGGCCCGGAAGGGAGCAGCCAUAGCGGGAACAUCGAGUGCCGGGGUGUGGCU
RNAcentral lists this signal recognition particle RNA (86 nucleotides) under Pseudomonas putida. RNAcentral's name for it is "signal recognition particle sRNA small type". It matches the Rfam family "Bacterial small signal recognition particle RNA". Rfam says of the family: The signal recognition particle (SRP) is a universally conserved ribonucleoprotein involved in the co-translational targeting of proteins to membranes. Archaeal SRP consists of a 7S RNA and homologues of the eukaryotic SRP19 and SRP54 proteins. In most bacteria, the SRP consists of a 4.5S RNA and the Ffh protein (a homologue of the eukaryotic SRP54 protein). RNAcentral also lists the same sequence under 7 other names. Lineage: Bacteria; Pseudomonadati; Pseudomonadota; Gammaproteobacteria; Pseudomonadales; Pseudomonadaceae. The record is from RNAcentral.